This 253-nucleotide ribosomal RNA is filed under the name uncultured bacterium. RNAcentral's name for it is "partial 16S ribosomal RNA". It matches the Rfam family "Bacterial small subunit ribosomal RNA", at positions 524 to 776 of the family's 1533-position model. The record is from RNAcentral.
UACGUAGGGGGCAAGCGUUGUCCGGAAUCAUUGGGCGUAAAGCGCGUGUAGGCGGACUGGAAGGUCUGGUGUGAAAGCCCGGGGCUCAACCCCGGAGGGUCACUGGAAACCGACAGUCUUGAGUCCGGAAGAGGAGAGUGGAAUUCCUGGUGUAGCGGUGGAAUGCGCAGAUAUCAGGAGGAACACCUAUGGCGAAGGCAGCUCUCUGGUACGUGACUGACGCUGAGACGCGAAAGCGUGGGGAGCGAACAGG